Molecule: non-coding RNA, 22475 nt
Organism: Podarcis lilfordi (Lilford's wall lizard)
Lineage: Eukaryota; Metazoa; Chordata; Lepidosauria; Squamata; Lacertidae
Source: the annotation of a GenBank genome assembly
CCAAUGCAUUCUAUAUCAAUUAAACUUUUGGUGUGGUGCGAGCAAUUUUUUAUUCUGGAAGUAUGGGGGGGGGGGGGAGAGAACCACUGAAUUAAACUGUCAUAAAUAAGAGCUGGUGGAAAGGAAGCAGAAUAUACCAACAUUAGGACCACAGGGUUGCAUCCAACUUAUGUCAUGCUCAAGUAUACCCACUGAAACCACUGCUUCAAAAUGCAAGGAGAUGGCAUAGAACUUCUAGGGGCGCUGGGGUUUUUGGCCCCCACAAUAAAUUAUUUGAGGGGGCCAAUCCCCCACAAAGUUGAUGGCCAUUCCCAUUCAAACAUGAUCGAUUAUGAAGGGUGGGGCUUACCUGGGCCCCCACAAUAUUUUAUUCAAGUCGGCACCCCUGGGAGACGGAUGCUCAGUCCGCAUUUUAGUCCAGCUUUACAAUCUUCCUGCCACUUCACCUUUAAGCAAACGAACAAAAAAAGCAACAACAAUUUAAAGCAAGUUUCAGAAAAAGUAGCCUGCAAGAGCAGGAAUGUAAUUGAGGUGGGGGGUUUUCUGGGGUGGGGGAGUUGCUUUUUUUAUUUCCGGGGUGUGUGUGUGGAAAGCGAGGCGAGGGCAAAGGCAAUAAAGGAAACACGCUCGUCUCCUCAGCACCGUCUUCCACAGUAACCAGGCGGCAAGUCCCCUUCGACUCAGUGGGCCUCCAAGUCAACGGAGAGCUGCCCCUGGCUUUCCUUUUACGUUUUAUCCAACUGGAAGGUUAGUCUAAGGCGCUGAGCUGACCGUUUCCCGGCUCGCGGCGAGGAAGCCGCGGACUCCGCUCUCCUCCCAAACGCCUCACACGCGCCGACAAGCCCACAGCCCCAACCUUCUCCGCGUCUCCCUCCGCUCCCGGCCUGUCCCUCGCCCGAGUCCCCGGGCCCCUCAGACCGACAGGCGUCCCGAAAGUGCCCCGCUCCGAGCAGCCGCCGGAUCUAGGCCAGCGCGCCGUCGCCGCGCGGUGUGGGCGGCCUCCGCUUCCCCUCAGCGAAGGCGGGCGCCUGCGUGCAAGAGGCGAGGGGGCGGCGGUUGAACUCGGCUACCGGCGCAAGGCUUCGAGGAAGGUGGUUGCUGGGCCUCCUUCCUCUUUUCCCUCAGCCUGGCGGGCCGUGGGGGGAAGGCUUUUGAGGGAGAGAGGGAGGGACGCGGGCAAGGAGGGGAGGAGGCAGGCAGGCAGAGCCGCUUUCUCCAGCGCCCCUGCACCAACGGCAGCAGGUAAAAGCCGACGAAAGCCGCCCGCUCCCAGCCACAUCCCCAACCCCUUCCCGCUCCCAAAUGGCCGCCUCCUCGGCUGCAGCCACCCCAGGUCUUUCCUUCCGUCCUUCCUUCCCGCUUCCGUCCCCUCACGGCUUCCUCCAUUCCCGGCUGUCACUGAAGGGCAGCCGGAGAAGGGGAGGAAGUGGCUCUUUUUGAGGCCUGCAACGUCAAAGGCCGCUCCUCUUCCACCCUCCUGCGCGCCCGUUUCUAGAAGCAGGUUGCGGGGAGGCGCUUCCUGGCGCCGCUGCUGCUGCUAGUUUGGUGGUUGCCGAGUUUCUCACCCUCAGCUGGUUUCCAAGAGGCGAGAGAGAGAGAGAGAGAGAGGACGGGAGCUGCUCAUGUGGGCGUUGUUUUCACCACCCCCUCCUAAUCUACUCAUAGGUGAAGCUAGUAGAACUUUUCCUUCCUUCCCUCCUCUUCUCCGACGCUCUUGUUUCUUUGCUCAAGCUGCUCGGUUUUCCUUAGUUGCCUCUCCACAAAACUUCAGUUCUGGCGUUUUAUGGUAGUUUCACUUUCAUAUCCCUCUUCUGGACAGUGGAAUCCUAUGCAUGUCUUCUCAGGAGUCAGUUCUGUUGAGUUUGGUGGGCCUUGUGACCAAAUAAGUUUUGUUUGUGUGUGUGUGUGUGUGUGUGAAUAUGUAUACAGUGGUACCUCGGGUUACAUACUCUUCAGGUUACAUACGCUUCAGGUUACAGACUCCGCUAACCCAGAAAUAGUACCUCAGGUUAAGAACUUUGCUUCAGGAUGAGAACAGAAAUCGUGCUCCGGUGGCACGGCGGCAGCAGGAGGCCCCAUUAGCUAAAGUGGUGCUUCAGGUUAAGAACAGUUUCAGGUUAAGAACGGACCUCCAGAACGAAUUAAGUACUUAACCCGAGGUACCACUGUAUAUACACACAUGCCUUACAGAUCCAUUCUAUACAUAUCUACUCAGUCCUAUUGAGUCCAGCACUGCUUAUUUCUAGGCAGUUGGAUACAGGAUUGUGGCCUUAGGCAAUAAUGUUUUCCCGUUGCCAAAUUCAGAAAUGAAGUUUUGUGACAUCUGCUUACUCAUCGUUUCUGUUCCUGCUUUUUUCUUUUUUUAAACCAAACUAGAAGCUGCCUCCUAAGUACUGAGAACACCCUAUUGUUUAGAGAACAGUUUGAGAUUACACGAACCUUGUAGUUCCCCAAUUUUCAGAUUCUCUUUUUUAAGUGUGGUUUGAUUUCUCUCUAGUAUAUUAAGUCUACAUAUGGGAUAAUAGCACAAUCAAUCCCCUUCGUAAAGUGGCUUAAGGUGUUUUGAAUUGUGGAAGACUUUAUUGAAAGACAUGGAGUUGUCAUGCUUACAAGUCCCUAGUUUAGUGCCUAUGAGUUGAUGGGUUAAUUUGUAUGGACUAGGAUUUUUAUUUUUAAAAACCCAUGCAACUACGGUAGUUUUGUGUCUUCUGGGCCUAUAUUCUAGGUGAAGUACUCCCUAUUAUAUAGCAAAUCAUGAAAUUUCAGGGACUUUCAAAAGUGAUUUGUUACAUGGGUUGUAGAGGCGUUCUGUGUGUGUGUGUGUGUGUGUGUGUGUGUGUGUAUAUAUAUAUAUAUAUAUAUAUAUAUUACAGUUCAGCCCAAGCACUUGGACAUGUGUAAGGUAAUUUUUUUGUGUCUGGCUGUUAUCUUUAUAGAGUAACACAUCUCUUUUGAAAUAAUAAUUCAGUGAAGUUUCUUGCUUAAAAAGUAUACUAGGGACACAAUGUAGGAUUUUAAGCAUGAAUACUGCAUUUUAUGCACAAGGUGAAAAAGUGGCAUGCCCUGAUUGUGGCCUGGUUCACAGUCAAACACACGGCAUGCUGGUGCACAUUUAGUAUUAAACACGGUUAGUGACUAUGGAGCUGUUAAUGAUAAUCUGCCACAUUCAGAAAACAUGUUUCAUUAACUGUUAGUUCGAUCUUAAACUUGUUUGUGUGGAAUUACACCCACUUUGUUUAAACUGGGUUACUCCCACCUGAGUCUGCAUGGAAUUGCAGCCUGGAUGUAAUAAUUAUGUGUCCUAGUCCAGAAUAAGUUGGUCAUGUUUAAGUCCUGUGGAAAUUAAUGUGGCAUCAAGUUACUAAUGACUAACUUAUCCCACUGAUUUCAAUGGGACUUAAGCACAACUCAUUUUCUUUUACUAGAGACUGCCGUGUCUUGCUUGCAGGAAAUUAAAGGUAAAGGUACCCCUGACCGUUAGGUCCAGUCGCAGACGACUCUGGAGUUGCGGUGCUCAUCUUGAUCUGUAGGCUGAGGGAGCCGGCGUUUGUCCUCAGACAGCUUCCGGGUCAUGUGGCCAGCAUGACUAAGCCACUUCUGGCGAACCAGAGCAGUGCAUGGAAACACCGUUUACCUUCCCACCGGAGCAGUACCUCUUUAUCUACUUGCACUUUGAUGUGCUUUUGAACUGCUGGGUGGGCAGGAGCUGGGACCGAACAACGGGAGCUCACCCCGUUGUGGGGAUUCGAAGCGACCUUCUGAUCGGCAAGCCCUAGGCUCAGUGGUUUAGACCACAGCGCCACCCGUGUCCCCUUGCAGUAAAUUACUUCAUGAUUAAAUUCAAAAAGUGCAUCCAGUUAGUGUAAUUGUACUUGAGGAUAUUUUCCAAGCCACAGAAUGACAGAAAACCCUCGUUUUCAGAGGCAUGAAUCCAUAACGCCACCCAUUUAUGUUAGAUGAAUUCUUCAAGAACACUUGAGUUAAACAGUGAACCAACUGGCAUAGCCACAUUCAGUGGGGAACCCUUCCCCACAAACCAUUUGUUUUCCCUGCAUUUUAUCUGUCACAAUGUGGAUAUCUGAUAAGUGUGGCAGUCCAGUCAUGAUUAAGGCACCUUCAAGGAGAACAUUAGGUGAUGGAUUUAAUGUCAUAGAGUUGUCUAUGGUCCACCUUUUCCUCUUCAUCACUGUCCAUAAGGCAUUGGAGACAGCUGGUUUUAUAAUUAUGCCCUUUUUGAACAUAAGCAAUGGGGUGUUCAGUAUCAGGAGUUGCAUUUCCUGAUUGGGAAGAGAACAGGGAGCAUAAGAGUCCUAGCAGUUUUGGGGUUGCUGGUGCUGAUUCUCAUCCCAUGAAUAAUUUGCAUACUUGUCUUUUAAAACCUCUCUGGGAUAGUUACCCUAAUAUAUAUUGUGCAUUGGCCCUCAUUUGGUGCAGAGGGAUAAUGAAUAAGGCAGUAACUAAAAACUAAGGAGAUCUUGCCUUGUAUGUCCGUUUGAAACAGAAGCUUUUUGAUCAGUUUGUAAGGAAAUAAUGUGUUCGGCAUAUUGAACAAUACUUUAGAGCAGGGGUGUCAAACUCAAAUUCAUUGGGGGGCCGCAUCAGCAGUUUGGUCACCCUCAAAGGGCCGGUUCUAUCUGUAGGACUAUACAUCAUAUGUACUUACAGUACAGGAGAGAAGGGUUCAGGCAGCCGUUGGAUCUGUCACAUCACAGGAUGGCAUGCACUCAAUAUAAAAACAAGUGGAGGUUUCCUGAAUGCAUGUAAAGUGGAGGUUUCCUGUGUAGAACGGCCGGCACCACUAGAGGGCAGACGUUCUCUGGCUUGUAGGCUGCCGCGCAUGCGCUGAAGAGGCGGCUUUCUUGUGUAAAAAAAAAAAAAAGCGAGAAUAAAAGGUGAAGGCUGGUGGCCAGUGGCGGCUACACGGGCCACAUGACGAGGUCUGGCGGGCCGGAUUCGGCCCGCGGGCCUUGUGUUUGACACCCGUGCUUUAGAGACAAAUUUCUCUUUUCAUUUUUCAUUUUUGAGGCUUCCUAUUUUUUGUUAGUAACCAAAUAGCCAGUCGUUGCGCAUAAUUGUCUGUAUAGGGGUGUGUGUUCAUGUGGCUGUGUACAUGCACAUGCACAUUUAAAUAUUAUGCAACACGUAACAUUUUCUGGUAUAAAACCCACAAUGUGGGGAAAGUAUCAGUUUUGGUUAGUAAAAUGUCUAUUUUAAUUUUCUGUCCAGGAAACUGUAACAGAAAUGAAGGGGGGAAAUGACAAGUAUUUGAAGAAGCAGGAAAGCUGUGGCACCUUAAAGAUCACUAGCUUAUUUGUUGCAUGAAUUUAAAGCAGUGGGGGACAAGUGAACCUCCACAUAUUAUUGGACUCCCAGCUCCAGCCAGCCUGGUCGGUACAGAGAUGAUGGGACUCAUAGUCCAAACACUCUGAAUGUCCACAAGUUCUCUACCCCAGGGGUAGAGCUUACUUUUCAGAUGUAGUUUAUCAAGUUACGUCACUGAAACUGCCUACCCACAAGUUUUCAAAAAGCAGUACACUGGGGUUUCUUGAUCAGAAUUUGUGAUGAAACCAUGUAAGAGCCUUCCUUUGGCGCUGGUGCCAAAUGAAGUUAUAGAGUGCUCUUCAAUACGAAGCAUAUGCCUGGAGAAAAUACUUUAAAUACAAAAGUUUCAAACCAUAAGUGUGCAUUUUUGUAUGUAUAUGUGUGUGGAAGAGAGAUUGCUUGUAGAGAGAGCCAUUCUGCCUGCAGGCGGGGAAAGUUCUGAAAAUAUUGAUGUCAUUGUGUAAGAGAUCAAUGCUUUACUAACUUCUGUGUUUUGUUUCUGUGAUAUAACACUGUGCCACAGCGACAGUAUUGGGGAACCUUGUAAAUCCUCCCACUCAAUACAGUUGUAAAAUCUGAUGUUGGCGCCUAGAAUUUUGCUUCUUAUAACAUAUAUUUUUGUAAAACAUAAAGGAAAUAACAAACCCCUGCCAUUCAACCUCUUCCGCCAGCAAUGGAUAGGCAUAGUAUUUCUGAACUUGGAGAUUCAAUUUAGCAACAGGCCUGUGUGCAGAGGAGGGGGGCAGCUGGGUACAAUUGCUACAGGCCUCAGAGGGCAAAGUAGCCGCACAUGUCAUGUAUUUUGAGCAGUGUGCAUGUACACACACAGUGUUACAUAGUUUUGUGUGUGUGUGCAUGCAUGUGUGUACACUUGUUUUGUACAUAUACAUAUAUUUAUAAAAAUUGUGUGUAUGAAGUAUUCUGUUCUUUUCAAUGAAACAGAGAUUCAGAUAGGUACAAAACAAAGAAAGAAUGCCAUAUUUUAGUAUCACCAUGAUGUUCAUAAAUUCAAUUUUCUUAUUCCUGGUCCAGAGGAAAACUGAAUUUGCCCAUUUUUUUAAUCUUAUGCCCAUCUUUUCAAAGUACCUAUCAAUUUGUUUGUCAAAGGCGAUCUUCAUUAUUAGAAUGCUACCUUCUAUGUUGUAUUGUUUUGUUUUCCUCAUGAUGCUUUGUCACUGUUAAAGAAAUUAUUAAUUCAUCUGACAGAGGUCAGACACAAUAUGUGGGUUUUCACUGUGUGUCAAACAAUAUACUUGCUGCUGUUAUGGAUUCUUGUGUAAAAUGGAUAAUAAAGUGCUACUAAAUUUAAGUGGAAUAAUGCAUUACCUGCUGUAUGCUUGCUGAGUAAGCACUUAUUUCAUGAAGUCAAACAUUGCAGUUGUGUGUUUCAGGCUGUUUAAUACUCGUUCUAGGAAAGAAAAUCGGUGUGUUUUCAUAGUCUUGGAUACAUGAAUGGCAUGGCUGCUGACUUCAGCAAUGGAAAGCUUCCAUUUAAAUAGGACUCUGAAUUAACAAAUCACUGUCAUUACAAUCAAUAUAAAUUUACUGGGUAGGAGAGACAGUAUAUUGUGUAACAUGAUGAGUAUGUCAUGGUGCUUUCUUGGUGUCAAGCCUCUAAUAUGAUAACAUGUUUUUAGGGUUUGCCCAUUACUUGCUUGAUUGAAGGUUUAUUGUUUGGAAUAUGGCAGGUUUUAAAGUUACUGUAUUUCAGACACUAUACUUAUUUUUUAAUAGAUGGUGUUUAUAUUCCUCUUUGGGCUGAGUUGUAUGUUACAGUGGUCCCUUAGAAUCUUCUGAACAUUCUUCCACAAUCAUAGUGACUCCACAUGGCAGUUGUAACAUAUUAUUGUUGCUCAUCACAGAGGCUGCCGAGUGCUAUUUAGCCCACACUACACGUCGAAGUGCAAGUAGAUAAAUAGGUACCACUUCGGCGGGAAGGUAAACAGUGUUUCCGUGCGCUGCUCUGGUUCGCCAGAAGUGGCUUAGUCAGGAUGCCACAUGACCUGGAAGCUGUCUGCGGACAAACGCUGGCUCCCUCGGCCUAUAGAGCGAGAUGAGCGCUGCAACCCCAGAGUCAUCCGUGACUGGACCUAACGGUCAGGGGUACCUUUACCUUUACCUUUUUACACAUUCAUAAUGGCAGCUGGCACUGGCGUAGGGCUGACUCCAUGUGACUCAGGCAAUCCACACAGUGAGCUGCUUUUGACAUGUUAAAACUACUGUGGGAAGCUACCACCAUGCAAAAGUACUGCUAGCAGUUUUCACGGGGCACAUAAUAUAUGUUAGAAUCGGCCAUUAAAGAUUAAAUCAAGGGCAUAAGAAAUGGGACAGUUAUUUGGGCUCUUAAGUGUGGUUACUGUAAGCUUAAACUUUAAAAGAGCAACUGGGGAAUGGUGAAAGAAGUCAAUAAGGUAAUUAGAAUGAUUGCAGAGACUAAUUCCAGAUUGAUGGAAAUUCUAUGCCUUUUUAGCAGUGUUAAUUACCUAAGCACUUUGACCAGAUGUAGGCAUAUUUUUACUUCCAUUGGUGAGUUGGAGCAUAUGACCCCCGAGAGUAGUCUUAAAAACUCUCUCUGUCCAGCAGUUUAUAAUGCCAAGCUGCCUGAAAGUAGCAGGAAAAGGUGGAUAUUUCUAAAGGUGUUUUUUUAAAGUGUAGCUUUUGUUAUCUCACUGCUUCAAGGAAGGCAGUAUAAUUUUAUAAUAAUGCUUAGGAAUACAAUGCAGUUAACAUUCAUAUCAUGCUUAUGCAUGCUGGUAUAGAGAUUAUCUUGCCUACACUUCUAGUGGGUAUGGGACCAGACUUUUUUCCAAAGAGCUUAUCUAGCUAUUUGUUUAAUCAGUUUUUUAACUAGAGUGAACAGUGCGUAUGAUGCAAUCAUUAAGGAGUCUAACAUACAGUUUCCUCGCUGCAAGAAAGAAAAUUUGAUAGAGCUUAAUGCAUUGAGGUCUUCUCUGCUCCAGAAGCCUUGGGGCUUCAUGCAUUUGUAUCCAUAACCAUUGCUUCUCAGUUCCCUUGCAUAUAAUCACCGCGUCUACAGUGAUAAAAGUCUAUAAAUACAUUAGAGUCCAAGGAAGCUUCAGUAAAUGAGAAGAAAGCAACAGCUGUGGCUCCAGAAGUCCUCCCAUUUUGUUGACCAUGUUCAAUCUAGUACUUUAAAGAUAUCCAAAACCGACUUUGUAAGAGAUACUAGCAAAAUAAGAUCUUAAUUAUAUUUUACUCAAUAUCAUUGUGAUAUAAACCCAAGAAGAGUCAUACCUAUAUCCUAGAAGGAAGAAGGGAGGUAAAGUGAAUAUAUUGCACAGUUAAAGUAGCUUUCCUUAAUCUUACGGUAUAUCCAGCAACUUGUAGUCCAGAGAUCAAAUCCAGCCAGACUCGUCUCUCCCCUCUCCCCCAGUUGUGUAAUAGCCCUCUUCACUGAACACUUAGUUUUGUGUCAGUUUUUGUGGGAAAACAUAGCUGUUUCGUGUCUAGGCUUUUAACAUCUCUUCCAUUGACAUAGUUGUUACUGGAAUAGGAGGGCCCAAAAUGUUGUUUUAGUCAAAAUAUAUUAUCAUUCCUAAUAUAUAAAUAGAUUGGGGAUUGGUGUUUUAAAGAUAAAAUGCUAUAUAAUAACUUUCUCCUAUGAGAAAGUACCCAUGGAGGAAAGUGUAGAGCAAAAUUAAUUAUCAUUGCAUGUUGCUGAAAGGCAUUACUGGUAGUGAAAUUUUACUGCUAUAUCUCCAAAGUGGGGUGGUUUAUAGUUUUAGUCUCUAAACUUUAUUGGACAAAUAGCCAUUUCCUACUUUUAUUUCCAGAAUCCCCCCCCUUUUUUUACUAUGUUUACAUUCAGUCUCAUCUCAACUCAACCCAAACCAGAAUGGAUCCAGUUAGGUUCCUUGUGCCCCCCUCUUCACCACUCUUGUCCCAUAUUUAUCUUUAUGUGGCAACAGGUAGCGUUUCUAGUAGCCCUUAGAUGCUCUUAUGAGCAAACACAACUAUGUCCAGGAUACCUGGAAGCAUGGGAAAUAUAGCUUGUGUGGCUGGAAUCAGUGUUGAAGAGGAAAUGAAUUGGCAGGGAGAGCUCCAGUUUACUCUGAACCUAGUUUGGAUCCUGGAUUAUGAUGACAAAUGUCUAGAGCACAUUUAGUAAUAUGAUCCUGCCUCUCAUUCCAUGUGGAUAUGAGGGUGGGGUUUCUCAAAGCUGGUUUGCACUAGCUGUCACUUAGUAUUUUAAACUGCUUUGGAAUCUGAAAUCGGUGGUCUUCCUCAUCCCAGUUGCUGCCGCUGGUUGAUGAGCAACACAAUCCCAGUGUUACAUAGAGCUAGCCAGGCCUCUUGAACCCUGAACCACAGUUCAUGCCAAAUUUUCCCAAGUCAGCCUGCACACACAUCUUUCCUUUCCCAGUUUCCUUCUCCCACUCAUUAUCACAGCUCUUCUUCAUCCUCAAAUCAUAUAUAUCUUUCCACUGUUGUACUCCUUCUGCUUGUUCAGUUCCAAUUUCUCACCGUCCCCAUAGGAGAGAAUUGCUUUGAUGCGAUUGUGCCAGAUUUCAGAAAUUAUCCAUAGAAGUUGUUUAUGUAGGAGGGAGUUCUUGUAGUCUGACAGCUAAAACCAACUUAUUUCUUUCACUACAUGCCAGAGGAGGCGAUUGUUUUAUUGAUGAAUAUGGAAAAAGUGAAUAGUCCAGUGCUUUGUUCCAUUCCUCUAAUUUACGACACCAAUAAUAAUGGAUGAUGGAUGAGAUAUCCAAACAUUAAUAAAUAAUCUUAAAAGGUGUACUAAAUCAAAGAGGAAGAGACCAAGGAAUAAUCUCAUAUAAUGCUUCAAGAAGGGUAAGCUAAUUCUAGUGUCAUUAAUUCUGCUAUAUGCAACAAAUAAACAACACCCCAUUUAAAGUAGAUAUGCUGCCAAUAGGAUAAGAGCUGCAACAGUAUUGCCACCUUUUCUUGCAUUUUUGUUAAUGUAUGAACUGCUUUAAAACAGUAUAUCCAUAAAUCAAAAGUUUCCAGAGCUGGAUGGUAUUCUUGGGAAAAGGUGGCCAUGCAUUAGUUUAAUGUAACUUUUGCACCAUUGUUCUGUGUCUUUGAAAACUCCUUAUAUUUAAUACCUUAGAUGGAAAAUAGUAGAACUUUGUUGUGCAAAUGUCAUCAAAUUACAAUGAAUUUGACCACUUGAGUUAAUAAUUGAAACAGUGUUGAAGUGGCAGAUACAAUGAGAUAGCUCUUGCAACAAGUUGUGCAUCCCUCUGUAAGUUCUGUGAUGGCUUCAAAGAUUUUUUUGUCCUCAGCACUCAGUUAUUACCAUUCAGCCUAUGUCUUGCUAUUAUUUCCUUUUACUGGACCUGAUUUUUAAAAAAAUCCUAUAUAUGUCUACUCAAAAGUAAGUGCCAUAGGAUGUAAUAACACAGUUCUAACCAUGUCUAUAUACUCAGCAUCAAGCAUUGCUUCCCACCAUCAUAUGCUCAUUGUUUGCUUUUGAAAGACUGUUAUUCUUGCUAAUCAUUAGAAACACACACAUAGUUUAUGGAACUAUGCUGCUGUACAGUAUUUUAAAGAAUUAGAAAAAACACAAGAACCUAAGAAGCUGCCAUGGCCCAUCCUUCUCAGUAAUGUUCACACUGACUGGAAGAGGUUCUUCAGGGUUUUAGGUAGGAAGUAUUUCCCAACCCUUCCUAGAGAUGCCAGGGAUUGAACUUGCAUGCAAAGCAUGUGCUGCUACCACUGAACUACCCUUCCCCACAUUUUAUCUAAUAGCUUAAAUGCAAUUCCUGCUAAUACUAAGAUGCCACUUAAUUGCACCUAUCCUUUAAACUGAAAUUUAAUGUUUACUAUAUGAAAGACUUAAGAGGAUUCUUAGGAGAUGCAGCAUAUAUUUUGAAUGUCUUUAUGAACAGUUCCCACUGCUUAAACUAGAGCAGAAAACAGCAGUUUAGAAUGCCAUUUAGAUGUACUUAUGUAGCCCUCAACAUGUGACUGUAUUAUGGACGGCCUUAAGAAAACAGUAAAUAAAUAUAAAAUAGAUCUUCUGUAUCUGUAAGAACUCUGUUGUUUAGUAUGGCAGCACCAACACUUUGGAACUCCUUGCUUUUGGUAUCUAUUGUGUUUUACUCUUUCUGUAGGCUUUAAAUUAUGGCUGCAAUUUUUUUUUGUCAACUGCUUUGAUUUUUUUUUGCAGUAAAGCGGUAUAUAAAUUUUAUGAAAUAAAGAAAUAAAUAGAAAUCUUGUAUGUCUAAGAGACUAAGCUAAUCUUAGUAAACUCCACACAAAUAGUUUAAUAGUUUGGUCUACAAGGACUGUCCAGUGAGAUAGUCUAAAUUAUAGCAGAUUUGGAGCUGUUCAGUUUGCUUCCAUAAAUAUAGACAGGAAAAUUACAGGUAAUUUGGCAUGACCAUGCAGCAAAACACAUCUCACUUCCAAUAUUGAUUUUCCUUGUUGACAUGUGGAAAUCUGUUCAAUGGAUUAUGUAUAACAAAUAGUUUUUUGUAUGAUUGUUUCUUCAUUACGGUCCCCUAAAUAGUUCAGACUUUAUCCACAAAAGAAGUCCAGGAACUGUAAGAAUAGCCCUAAGCACCUUUGAAAUUCUACAAGUCUUGCUUUUAGGUUGCUGUUUACAAGAAACCAGGACCAGGUAACAAUUACAUUUCAAGGCACUUCCAUAAAAUAGAGAACUCUUAGAAUACAGAGAAUUCUUAGAAUAUCAGUAGUGGGAAAUAAUUCUAUUCACUGUAAUUAGUAUAGUUGGGAACAUGUUUGUCCCACUAUGUUUUGCAGUACAAUGCUUUGGAGCUCCAAUUUAGUAUACUAAAACAAAUCCUGAAUGAAUUUUGAUUUGUAACAUUCUACUGGUUGCCCUGGGACACGGGUGGUACUGUGGGUUAAACCACAGAGCCUAGGACUUGCCGAUCAGAAGGUCGGCGGUUCGAAUCCCCACAACGGGGUGAGCUCCCGUUGCUCGGUCGCUGCCCCUUCCAACCUAGCAGUUCGAAAGCACGUCAGAGUGGAAGUAGAUAAAUAGGUACCGCUCUGGCGGGAAGGUAAACGGCAUUUCUGUGUGCUGCUCUGGUUCGCCAGAAGCGGCUUAGUCAUGCUGGCCACAUGACCCGGAAGCUGUACACUGGCUCCUUUGGCCAGUAAAGCAAGAUGAGCACCGCAACCCCAGAGUCAGCCACGACUGGACCUAAUGGUCAGGGAUCCCUUUACCUUUACCUUACUGGUUGCCCCUGAUUGACACUACCAUUCAAGGAUGUGGAAGGUAUUGUUUUAAUUUUAAAUGGCGAGUGCAUUCAGAUAGUAAAAACUUGGUAACCUCUGUAUAUUUCCAAGGACUAUGAGCUUUAAACGUUGAGGAAGGAUUUAAAAGUCAGCCAAGCAUUUUGUCCUUCUCACAUUUUGUCUUCAUAACUGAAUGACUGCCAGUUUGCACAGAUUGUGUGUCAGUUUAAAUACAACAAACACACAUCAGUCUGCUUGAAAUCAUUCCACCAAAGACUUCUAAAAACUUUAGGUAGUCGGCAAACAGUAAUGGUUGUUUCACAUUAAGUUGCUUUGUAGAAUUAUAAAACAGCUUUUCGUAUGCUUUCAAAUAAAAUGUUGUCAUCCACUAAUGAAUGAGAUACCAUCUGUAAUAAUUAAGGUUAUUCCACUUGUUUUUCCCUGCAGCAAAACUUCUGAAGGUUUGAAGAAGAUAGUAAGAAAUCUACGAAGGAGGGCUGUAGCAGUAUUUGUAGCAGUAUUGUAAGUACUGCAUUGAAAAGAAUGUGAAUUAAAAAUAUUAUAAAGUGCCUGUCCAUAUAUAUUUGAUGAAAAAUUAGUUGUACAAAGGGAGCGCAUGGAAUGUAAGGGACAAGAUAUAUAGUAGCAGUUUUGUUAAUUUACAAAGAUAGCUCCAUUCUUAUGAAAUUUAAAGUGUAGCCUUUGCAGUGUAAUCAGGAAUUCACCAGUAUCACUGAAAAAAUAUCUUUUUAUCUAACAAAGAUUGAUCUACUUUAUAUACAUUUGUUUAUUUAAAACUAUCAGAAUUUAGAAAAUCAUUAUAGUUUUGUAGGGCUGUCAUUUGUUUUAGUGACUUAUUGUUUAGGUUAUUUUGCAGAAUUAUUUAUUUGCUGAUUUAUUUAUGUAUUUCAUUAUUUAUUUAUUUGAUUAUUUAGUAAAUUAUUUAUCUGAUGAAUUAUUAAUACAUCUUCAUGACAAGCUUUAAAUUAUUUAUAACUUAAUUUUGAUUUUAUUGCUUUUCGACGCUGCAUUGUUACUGACUAGGUUUUUUUUUUUUAAAUCCCCUUACUUGCUUCUUGAAAAUUAAAGUAUUAGCUUUGAGGCAAGUUUAUAUUCAUUGCAAGGCCAAUAGAUAGAUAUAUUUUCUGCAUAUGAAGUACUUCUCCUUGUAGGUACACAUUUUACAUGGCAUUUUGUAACUUGUGACUGCGUACUUACUUACCUGUUCACAAUCUUGCUUUUGCUGUUCCAUAGCUAUAUAAAGAUAAAUAUUUAACCUUUGGUGCAAAAGUGAACACAUUCUUCUUCUCCAUAGUUUACACAACUAGUGUACUUUCCUGUACACUUUCUAUAUGUGUUGGAUAUAGAGACACAUUCUCUGUUGCAGGAAAGAUUCUCUUGAUUCAACCCAUUAUACAGACAAUUGUUGCACUGUCAUUCAGUAAUUUGUUGAAGCUUCAUGAUUGCUUUCAGAACAUGCACUUGCUGCUAAGAGAAUAGGUGAAAGAUUUUCUGAGCUCAGUCAAACUUGAGUAGCCUCUUCUUUUUAAAUGGAGGUCUUGCUCAGUAAGUUUCAAACACUAACCUGCCCUACAAAGUGUCAUUCCUAAUGUCUUCUAAUGUUUACUGUGGAAUCACACCUAAUGUAGACAGUUCUAGCUCCACCAGUCUCUCCUUCCAUCUCUAAUAUCCCUUAAUACUUUUCUUUCUAUUUCUAAGAUGCUCUGCUUCCUGCAUUACACUAAUUUCGAUGCACGAUUUGGCCUCUGCAUACAGAGAGGGUAGGAUGCAGAUGCCCUUUGUUCACAUAGUGAGUCCAGGUGGUGUCUACACAGUCUCAGCACCCUGCUUUGCCUCCCUGGGGCAUUUUGCAUAUGGAGCCCCCUCCUGGUACGCCACAGCAAUGAUAAAUGCAUAAACACCCAGCAGGCUAUUACUAACAAUUGCUAGAUUACAGGGCAAGCUUCAUGCAUUGUUUGCUGCUCCUUCAACUCUGCAGAAAGUCUACUCGGAGCGAGAUCCUAGAAGGAAGAGGGGGCUUCAUGAGAAAGCACCAUCUUUCCAGGGGUGGAGCACAUAAAAUAUUGUGUUAAUAAUGGAAGAAAAGUUCAUACAGAAAGAAUGCUCAGAAAACUGACAUGUUUUUGGGCCCAGGGAAGAUCGAUGUCUACUGGUGUUUAAAGUGUCCUGAAUUGAUUGGACAGUAAAGAGGAGAUAAAUGGCAGGGAAAAGCCAGUGACGAGUAGGAUGGAGAUGUGUUCUAAGUAAAUCAUUCUGCAGAUGUUACCUGUGUGUGGGUUACUGGACAAGGAUGCAAAACGGCUCUUACCUUAAAUAUGAAUAAAUAGUUUGGUCUUGUUCGCAUGUCUCUAUAUAUCACUGCUAUGACUUCAGCUGCUGUAAAUGUUUUACAGUUAAUGCUAAACUUUUAAUUCACUUUAAAAUUCAGUAAGUCUGCUUAUUUUAAUACAGCCUUCCCAGCCUCUCUUUUUUGUAGGGGAAUGUAGUAUCUCCAUGCAAUGAGUAGUAAAAUGAUGAGGGCAAAGCUGUAGUUCUGAUAAAUGUGCUGUGUGCACAACAUGGCCUUUAUUCUGUGUUUAGUGCUUGAGAUGAAUUACUAUAGAAUUUAAAGUUUAACAGGGCAUGGGAAAGGAUGCAUUGUACAUUUCAAGUUGGGAUGCUGUUGCAGUACAGUAGAAAUGGCCUCUGUAGAUAUGUUUCACUAUAGAACUUAAAUUAUGCAUGUGUAUAUCCAAAUUCCUUAUUUUGAAAUAUUGAAUGUAUGAAUAUUUAAUUGGUAUCUUGCUUUAGUAUCUUCAUAUGCUUGCCUUAAAGGAAACUGUUUCCUUUGAUUUAUAUACAUGGAUAAAAAACUUGUAUAGAGUGUGUAUCAAUGGCUUUUCUCUCUCCUGUAUUAGAUGAACAGCAUUAGGCAAUGACAAGUUGGGGCCGGUUUCUUUCUUUUUGAUUGCUUAAGUUUUGUAAACCUUGUUCGUAACACCUUUAUGAACACCUUGGUUGCUUUUUACAUUAGUCUUUCAGAUUUGCUUUUUUUUAAAAAACCAACCACGUACUUACAAAGGUCAGAUACAUCGCAGCAUAUAACAGUAGAAUGUGUUGUAUUUUGUAGUUUAUGCCGAAGUGCAUCCCCAGUAAUAUACAUCUUUUUGGAAGUUUUUUAUUUAUCUUAACCUUUUCAUUUGUAUUUUUUUCACAAUAUAAAAAUGUUAUUGAAAAGGCCUGUAAAGCAUUGAUAUUAAAUAUUGCAAGUAUGCUCUGUCACUCACCUGUACUAGUAUUAAAUGCUUCCUGAAUGACAUAUUAUGAUAGUUCCAGGGGUAAUAUAAGGCAGCUUAUGCACUGGCCCUGAGAACAGCUAGUGAGAAGUGAAAGCACAGCCAAAGGUCACAUUAAACAAGAGUUCUGUCACACCCCAUUCAUUUACCCACCAAUUUGUGAGAAUAGCUGGUUACAUCUUGUGCUGUAUAAUUUUUAGGAAAGAUUGUGCUAUUUUUACUUACUGUGUUUUAAUGGCAUGUCAACCUUGGAUGCUACAGGUUAAAAAAAAAUCCAAUAAUGAUUUUCUACAAUAUUAUUCAAACACAUCUUAAUUCCAGCCUUGAAAAAAGGCCUGCGUAUAUACAUUGCAUGUGCCUAUGUAUAUACAGGGUGAUUCAUAAUAAUAAAUUCCAUUUACUAUAAAUGGAAACUGCAUACUUCAUUAUGAAUCACCCUGUAUACAUAGGUUUGCACAACAGGGCUUUUUUAAAAAACAAAAAAACAGCAACCUUGCUAAUUUCCUCCCCCCGCCCCUUUAAAGACAUAUUGUAAUUAAACUCUCCCAAGUUUAACCAACAUUUUGCAGUGCAGUACAGGAACUGAUAUAAUCACUUCAGUGCUAUUUUGUAAUUAAAACAAAUACAGUACUCCACUGUUUAUAUAUGUUUCCAAGGUGGAUCAAAAUGACUUGUGCAGAACCUUUGGACUGUAGGUACUGGGGUGCAGAGAAGUUCAAUGAGUUUCAUAUCAUGUAGCAGUUCUUUGGAGAAAAGAACUGAAACCACCUACUGGACAAUAGUAGGUCUCUCCAUGUAAUAAUUACAUGUGUAUUUCCUUUCCUGUAGUUUAAAUGUAAACUAUAAUUUUGCAAACUGCUGUACUUGACAGUUCAGGGGCCUAAAUGAUACUGUUUGCUAACUGUAUUAACUACAGAAAACAUCUGCAUGCAUCUAUAGUUUUUUAAAAUAUUAUUUUGCCAUGUCUGGUUUUCAAUUCCUUGCUUGUCUUGUAUUUAUAUAUUUUUAAUAGAUGAAAAUGACAAAAUAUUAUGAUGGUGGGCUUUCUGUGUGUCAGGGUCUAAGUCAUAGGUUAGUUUUAAGACAAAGCAGCCUCAUAAGUCAGAACUGAAGAGUAAGAGAGGACGAACCAGGAGGGAGGACCAAAGAGGAGCCCCAUAUUGUUUUGGCAAAGCUGAAUAGGAAGCUUUUUCUUAUACUCUUGGGUCAACUGCAUCUUAGUCCAUCUUAGUGGUUGGAGUAAGCACAGGGCCUGAGCGUACUUCAGAUAGAUUAUGUAACCUGCAGGUUUGUGGCUCAGCAUAAAGCACAGCUGCACCCAGAUUCAUUUCGUGUCACAACAACUCCUGAGGCUGUGGUAGAUUUUCAUCUGGUAGCUGCAUUGUAAACUACUGCACAGUCCUGUUACUAUGUGUAAAUGCUCCAACACAUUAGUUUGGGUAAGAUGCAAAUAAGCCCAAAUAAGGUUUAGUAUCUGGAUCCUGAGGGAUCCUUUUAAAACAGCUUGAUGGAUUUGAUUGCCUGCCACCUACCACCCUGAACAUUUCCCCCAUGCUCUGGAUUUUAUUGUCUUGUUGCCAUCAUUUUCCCUGUAUAGCAUCUGUGUCAUCCAGCUUCAGAAUCUGAAAUUUCAUCCUCUAUCCAGUGUUUUUAUGGUUAAUUUUGAACAGCUAUAUCGUAAGUGAUGCUCUUUGAUAUAGCUCGGUGCUUGAAUUUGGGGAAGGAGGUGAAAAUUAGAUACUUUUGUUUCAAAUUAGGGCAGACUCAAUUUAGCCUUUGGUGUAUUGACCUUCUUUAUACUCAUGCAAACUAUUUGCUAAUGAGCUUGAAUUAAUACAUUCACACUUCCACUGUAUUAUUUCGGUUAUCGAUCAUUACCAUGAAAAGUGAAAAGCAUUAAUGAAUGGUUAAUGUGGCAUAAUAUUAGGCAUGACCUAUCUUCAACAAAGUUUCUAGAUAUGCUAAUUGUUUAAUUAUGUGUACUUCCUUACUGCAAGGGUAGGGCAAGUAGUGUUGUAAGCAUGGCAAUGCUCCAUAUACUUUUCUUUCUUAAAAACUUGUAGUGGCAGUCUAAGCCGAUGGUUAUUACUGAUUUUGGAGGUAAUAGUGGCUGUUUCCAUUUUCUAGUAUUACCCAGGCCAGGGCUCUUUGAAGCUGGAAGUGUCAGCAAAUGGGCACUUUGAGAUAUGGUUUCCUCUUCCAGGGCAUAUGUCCAGUAUAACCUCUGCUGGCAUAAGGCUUUGGUUGUUAGAUACUUUUCAGCUAAUUAUGUGCCAGAAUGAAAACGGGAAAACAAAAAAGUGACAAUUAAUCAUGAGUUGUGUGCGUGGCUUUCUGUAACCUGGACCUCUUGAACAUAACAAUGUCUUGUCAAGUCACUUUUAUUGCAUUUAGCCAUACACCAUUUCAUUGAAACCCUGACCCAGACAGGAUAGUUUAAUAAAAUGCACAGUAAAAUAUUAGACUAAGAGACCGCCUGCAUAAAACAUCCAAUUUAUUAACAAAAAGUUGUUGUUGUUUGUUGCAUGAAAGCUACAAAUACUACCAAUUGUUAUUUACUUAUGAAACCUACAAAUACAAUCAAUUGCAGACAACCUAUAUAUAAAAGGGGCAGAUGGAGCCCAUUAACCUGGGAAGGUAGUCCAUGGAGAAGGAAAACUCUUAUCCUGAACCUCCGCAGCUUUGUGGGAAACCUUUGGGAGAAAAAAAGGCUUAGGAGUAAACCCUACACAAAUCCAGAGUGGAAUCCCUAAGACUGUUGGAUGCUGCCUUGUAUGCCUCCUUCUGGCAUCUCCUGCAUCCAAGCUGGUGCCAAAUGUACUGCUUUCCUUUCCUGUGGAAGCAUCAGCAAGGUCAAGAGGGGUGUCUUGUCAUUUAGUCAGCCCAUGACCUUCAUACACACUGCCCAGGCUAGCAUCCCAGGGAGUUCACUCUGAUGCUGCUAACUCAGCGGUUUGACUUCACCCCCAGAGGCACACUCCAUUCUCUAUUGAGACAGGCGGAUACCAACAACAUAAUAUGUAAGUACAAAGAAUACAGAAACAGUGUUCUAAUUGGCAGGACAUAGUACACAUAGUCCCCAGCUAAAGGGAGAUGCUCAUGAAGUUGUACUUCUUUCUGACACAACCAUCCAUUGAACAUUGGUGAGGCUUGUAAAUAAGAUAAGCUUGGAAAUGCAAGGACUGACUUGUUGGAUAGUGGCCUUGCAUAAGUCACUUGGUCAAACUUUUUGGCUGAAAAGCAGGAUAUAAAUGUUUUAUAUAAAUAAUAAAUGAAUAACCUUUUACAUCUCUCCUUUUCGUGAGGAUUUCCUCUUAACAAACCUUAAUUCUUAUGAACAAUGCACAUAAUUUGCAGGCUCUCUUGUCUAUGUGUGUCUGCUGUAUUUUGAAUUCUGUUAAGCUUAAUGGGUCAGAUCCAGAGGUUCUCUUUUUCUGAGGAAAGGACUCUUCCUCCAGUGGAGCAAAGGGAACUUUUGGAUCCAAUGCAACAGAAGCUUAGGUAGAAUCCAAGCAGAAAGAGUGGGCCAGUGAAGUAAACAGAAAUGAGAAGCAACAUAAUUGUAAUGAAGAAUGGGAAAGAUUCAGCAAGUAGUAGACCUGAUAGGAUCUUGGGGAGCACACAGGGGUAGCAAGAGAAGGAGGAAGAUGGAAAUUUAUUAGCAGAAACCUUGAAGUACCAGCCAUGAAGAUUGAACAGGAACCAGGAAAUAAUGCGGCAAAGGGUAGAGGGAAACCGCAAAUGAAGAAUAUUGUAAACUACAGUUUCAAAAAGCAAGAAAAACAGGAUAGGAAAAAACGACAUUGUAAGGCACUGUCCAUGUUCUAGACCCACAGUGCCAAAGUAGUGUAAUAAUGUCAUUGCAGAAGGCGUGAGUCUUCACAGUUUGAAGCAUCAGAGGAUGCUAAGGUCUAAUGAGUUCCUUGGUCUAGUUCCUUGUGAUUCUGUUAAUAGUUAGAACUGCAUAUCUGCAACCGCAGGUUGGCUAAUGUGGAAUUUGGCGGCCUCCUGAAUCUUCCUCAUCUGCUUUGUGGAUAAGAAAGUAUGCUUGGCACCAGACAGCGUUUCUUCUUGCUAUACUGAAAUUUGUCUUUAUUUUCCUAAUGAGCCAGUUGUCUUUGGCAGGGUAGUUGUCCCCAGUUUCCUUUCAAACUAAAAUUUCACGUGUAUAUUAAAAUACAUAAUGCUGGAGGAUAUGCCAGAGAAACAAUAUGAAUACAGUAUUGCUGAAUACGUGGGGCAUAGGAUUUGUAGAAUGAAAGUUAAAAUAGAUGGUUCUGCUCAUUUACAAGAAAAGUCACCAGACAGCAUUGUUUGUCAGUCAACAAGCCUUUGAGCUGACAGUCAUUGCAGCAAUGCUUCAUUAAGAAUUGAAAGGUGCCUUUUGCAUGUUAGAAUUAAAACGGGUGACACUAAUGCAGUACCUACUACUCCUGAGUUAAAUUCUAUGGAAUGUUUUGGGAGUUGGUGGCAAACAUUGCACAUAUUCUUUGGAAUGACAAAGAGAAUGGAUGAGGUGUUUGAAAAGGGGUGGUAGCGGAAAUCCUCCUGUUAAUGGCUUGUACCAAACUUAAGAUCUGUCCCUUGUUUAAAAAGCGGAAGAAGUAAAUAACAGUUAACAUUCGUUCCUGAUUGAAAGUCUCAGGAGGAAAAUGUUGAGGAAGCAUGUCAAGUUAAGAAGAAACAAUGAGCAUAAGAUUUGUCAUCUUAAGGACAUAAUCCUGGCAGUCUAGGUUGGUUGAUGAUAUGAUAGUGUGAUAAACUCUUUUGAAAGCAGUAGCAAUACAGUGGUAGCUCUAGUUGUGGACAAUCCGUUUUGGGGUGCUGUUCACACCCCGAAAAGUCCGCAACUAGAGCGCCUCUUCUGUGCAUGUGUGCGGCGCGAUUGAGCAGAUCGCUUCUGCUCAUGCGCAAAGUGCGUAGAUCGCUUCUGUGCAUGCGUGGGUGGCGAACCCAGAAGUGUUUCCAGGUUUGUUGCGUUCAUAAGCUGAAAGAGCGGGACACAACACGAGGUAUGACUACUUGUGCUACAUGCUGUGUGUAGUCUUGAUUACAUGAACAAUAUUUGCUGCUGAAAUCUGAGGUUUUAUGCGCAUGUGAAAAUGUUAAGAAAAUGCAGCAGUCUAGAUAAUGAAUUAUUGGAUUGGUCAUGUUUCAGAAAAUUCACGUAUAUUUCCUUAUUGGGUUACUCUUGGCCGUACAGUGGUACCUCUGGUUGUGAACGGGAUCCGUUCUGGAGCCCUGUUUGCAACAUGAGCAGAAUGCAGCCCGCGUCUGCAUGCGUGGGUUGCAAUUUGCCGCUUCUGUGCAUGUGCGCAAUGUCAUUUUGCACGUCUGUGCAUGUGUGAGUGGCAAAACCUGGAAGUAUCCAUUUCUGGUACUUCUGGGUCGCCGUGGGACACAGCCUGAAAUCGCGCAACCUGAAGCAUACGUAACAAGAGGUAUGACUGUACUUUGUUUCCAAACUGAAUCCAGCCACCCAGUGUAGCAUCUCCUGUUAGUUUUUUUCUUUGGCACUGCGUAGAAUCUGUGAGUCAGGAAUGUUAUCCACCUAUAGUACAAAUAAAGUAAUAAAAAUUAAUUAUAGGUAGUAUGAAUUAGUGAGGUUCACACUGUAUUAAGGAGAUCGGUGAAGGUUGAGAGCAACAUUUAAUCAUGAAGAAUUGCUUGCACUUUGUACAAUUUGUUUUAGAUUUAUGUAUUUGUUACGUGUCUAAGAGACCUUUUGGGAAUUUGCUUAUCUACUAAAUCUAUUAUAUUUGCAGUAUUAGUUGUGGUGCCCGACAAUGAGAGCUAAGGUCUCUCGUACUUCAUAUGUCACUACCAAUUUUAUGAUGACUCUAAUAUUGUGUGAAGCAAAUGAUAGCAGAAAUCCCACCACAUCCUGACCAUUUCAGAGAAGGACAAGCACAUAUGAUCAAAUCAUGAGCAUCUGUCACAUCAUUGAAAAAUUUAGGGAGUUGAGUCAUUCAUUGAUAAUGUGCUUCAUUGGCUAUGCAAAAAAAAUUUGAUACCAUCUGACAUGACCAUCUUUAGAGGAUACUUGCUGACAUGAGGAUUCCAAAAUAUCUUACUGAACUUUCUUGCAUGUUUGUUUGGUUUUUUUUGCAGGGGAGGUGGGCGCGGGGAUGGCAUUGACCACAGAUUUUGUUGCAAAUGGCAGCAAGUAAAAGCAAGUAGUUUCCCACAGGACAGCAAAAAAAUGGCAUGUCAUCAGCAAUCCUUUUUUUUUUUAAAAUGAUAUUUAUUGAAAAUUUUUAAAAUUACAGAAAAAAACACAGCAGAAAAAGAAAAAAGAGAAAACAAACCACAUCAAACAAUGCAGAUUCAAAAAACAAAAAUACACCACAAACAGAUAAAAACAAAUCCAUCAUUCUCGAAUCCUCAACUUUCAUUACCUUCUUUCUUUGACCUCCUCCUCCUCCCUUUUUUUGUAUCCUAGUUAUUAAUUAUCGCAGCAAAUCCUUUCCAUAUUUCAUAAUAUUCUGUCAUUACAUUACCUUAAUCUAUUUUCAUCUUAUCUUAUAGAAAACCUUAAAACUUAAAACUUAAAUCUUAUUUUUACCAACUUCUCAUAACCAUAAUAUUCUUACCUAAUUCUUUAAACAUUUUUGCUAGAGCCAAGUAAUUUCGUUCCAACAUUUUUCUAACAUUCAUCAAUUUUAU